Papaver somniferum (opium poppy) is the source of this 1656-nucleotide long non-coding RNA. RefSeq lists it as uncharacterized. The record is from RefSeq and is a predicted model, not a curated record. The transcript is spliced from 3 exons. NCBI's taxonomy places the organism in Eukaryota, Viridiplantae, Streptophyta, Magnoliopsida, Ranunculales, Papaveraceae.
UCUUCUUCUCAAAUUGCUUAGAAAUUCUUUCUUUUUGUGCCAUAUCAUCCCUGAUAAUUCUCAUUAACAAUCGUCAUGUCAUUCCUAAGUUUGCAAAACCUAAUAUGCGUAAAAACCUAAACAAAAACAAUAACUCAGUUAAACCUAUAACUUGCCUCCGCCUCUCUUCGCUAUUUUCUUCCACCGGUGGAGCAAACUCUGCAUCUGCCUCUCCACCACCUACACAUCUCUAUUUAAGUUUUUGCUGCAAUGGUGUUGAUUAGGAGCUACAUGUGAUGGUGCUAGCGGUUAUGAUAGUACUGUGGAAGAUGGAGUUAAGGGCCUGAAUUAGAGAAGAAGCAGGGAUAUGAAGCUAUUAAUGUUGAAUCUAUUCAUUGAUUUAUCCGUUUGAUGUUACUAAUCUGUUCUUGGAUUUGUUUUGUAUAUCCCGAUAGCUAUGAUCAAUAACAAAAGGAAGAGGUCAAGAGACGAGAUAGUUUCCAGAUGGGGUUUCAAUUUUACAUAUAAAAACAAAAGGGUAAUUAUCAAACUUUGUACAUAGCAGAGACCAUAAUCACAGAAAGGUAAAAGGCCUUUCGUUAUGUUUUUUUUUUCCAGUUUACCUUCCACGGUACUGGAAUGUUAAAUGUGAUACUUUCUUUUGUAAAACUUUAUUGAAUAAAAAGAAAGAGAUGAUCCAUACUGUUUUGCAGCAGUUCAAAGAUUCAUAGAAGGUUCUCUAUUUAGCCUGCAUCAGUUGUUCAGGUUCUUUUUUUUGCAGUCAAUUGUCUCUCAAUUAUGUUGUUAUUUAAUUGUGGUUUCAUAUCUCCUUAUCCCCAGGUUCUUAGCGACAAACCCCUAAUUCCCUUAUUCUUUUUUAAGAUUCCGAUUUAUGUUUUGAUUCGUAAAAAUUCAGAGAGCUUCUGCUGUUGCAAAUAUGGAAUUCUCUGCAUCAGUUGUUCAGUUGAUUGGUUUAGUUUUUUUUAGAAUGCAGGUACAAAUGGAACCAUGAGCUUGAGGUUAGCCAGUUUCUCUUUUUAUUAUAAGAAAAAAGGAAAUUAAGGUGCUGUUGAUAAACUUGCAGAUUGUUGAUUUUAACAAUGUAAGUGUUAGUCCAACUAAGUGCAUCCGUUUACUUCUUCUUCUUUUUUCUUUGAAUGGGUGUUUUACAUAUUGAGUUCAUUUUAACAUUGAGUUCUCUCUUUGUGGUAUAUGGGUAUUUGAAAAAUGAAAAAUGACUCUCAUAAAAUCAGAGAUUGAACCGAGUGGUAUUGAUGGACUCAUUGGAUUCCCUGGAUUAAGACUUGGCAGCAAUCAAAAGAGCUUUGAUGAUAUCUUCAUUGAUGAGCUUCUACUAUCUUCAUAGCAUUUACUGUCCCCAAUAGUUUUGAUUUGUUGCACUACAUUUUUUCAAGACUUCCCAAAAAAAUCUGAAGUAAAUUUUUUUUGAUUGGUCCUGAACGGGCCGAGAUCUAUUGCAUCAUUAAUAAAAUUAUGGAUAUUAUUGCAUCAUUAUCUAUAGUAUUUUCUUACCCUUUGUAAAGCCCGCAAUUCUUUUGAGUAAUUCUGGAUAGAUAUAGUUUGAUCCCAUGGGUGAAGUUUGAUGUAAUUUUGGAAAUUGAUAAAAAUUGCUUGAGUAAUUGAAUUAUGGAUUACUAGCUAAUCUAUAGAUUAUAU